UUUUUUUUUAUUCCUGUGUUGAUGUUCAUUUCUUUCCGGGUUGACUUUGAGUGCGUAUUUCCUUAGUAAAAUUGCCACCCCUUGUGUGGAUCGAGUAUUUCAGUUUUGUCCUGAUUUACCCUUUUCCACUGCAGAUUUUCCCCUUUAUCCCCGACUAAGGCUUUCCAUUGAUUUAUUUUCAUGGAAUCCCUCGUGUCCCCCAACAGUUUUAAAUCAUAGCAUGGCCUACACACAACUUUU
Molecule: long non-coding RNA, 240 nt
Filed under: Lathyrus oleraceus (garden pea)
Lineage: Eukaryota; Viridiplantae; Streptophyta; Magnoliopsida; Fabales; Fabaceae
Description: Pisum sativum (pea) long non-coding RNA (PSAT_LNC004780)
Source: RNAcentral